GACGAACGCUGGCGGCGUGCUUAACACAUGCAAGUCGAACGGAAAGGCCCUGCUUUUGUGGUGUGCUCGAGUGGCGAACGGGUGAGUAACACGUGAGUAACCUGCCCUUGACUUUGGGAUAACUUCAGGAAACUGGGGCUAAUACCGGAUAGGAGCUCCUGCUGCAUGGUGGGGUUGGAAAGUUUCGGCGGUUGGGGAUGGACUCGCGGCUUAUCAGCUUGUUUGUGGGGUAGUGGCUUACCAAGGCUGUGACGGGUAGCCGGCAUGAGAGGGUGGCCGGCCACAUUGGGACUGAGAUACGGCCCAGACUCGUACGGGAGGCAGCAGUGGGGAAUAUUGCACAAUGGGCGCAAGCCUGAUGCAGCAACGCCGCGUGCGGGAUGACGGCCUUCGGGUUGUAAACCGCUUUCGCCUGUGACGAAGCGUGAGUGACGGUAAUGGGUAAAGAAGCACCGGCUAACUACGUG
This 467-nucleotide ribosomal RNA is filed under the name uncultured bacterium. Its description in RNAcentral is "partial 16S ribosomal RNA". It matches the Rfam family "Bacterial small subunit ribosomal RNA", at positions 28 to 507 of the family's 1533-position model. The record is from RNAcentral.